UACGGGGGGAGCAAGCGUUGUUCGGAUUUACUGGGCGUAAAGGGCGCGUAGGCGGUCAGCACAAGUCAGUUGUGAAAUCUCCGGGCUUAACCCGGAAAGGUCAACUGAUACUGUGCGACUAGAGUGCGGAAGGGGCAACUGGAAUUCUCGGUGUAGCGGUGAAAUGCGUAGAUAUCAGGAGGAACGCCGGAGGCGAAAGCGAGUGACUGGCGCGUUCCUGACGCUGAGGUGCGAAAGCUAGGGGAGCAAACAGG
RNAcentral lists this ribosomal RNA (254 nucleotides) under uncultured bacterium. RNAcentral's name for it is "partial 16S ribosomal RNA". It matches the Rfam family "Bacterial small subunit ribosomal RNA", at positions 524 to 776 of the family's 1533-position model. The record is from RNAcentral.